RNAcentral lists this transfer-messenger RNA (359 nucleotides) under Opitutaceae. RNAcentral's name for it is "B12-G4 sp003641745 Standard tmRNA". It matches the Rfam family "transfer-messenger RNA". Rfam says of the family: Bacterial tmRNA, also known as 10Sa RNA or SsrA, is named for its dual tRNA and mRNA-like properties. Its role is to liberate the mRNA from a stalled ribosome. The record is from RNAcentral. RNAcentral also lists the same sequence under 1 other name. Lineage: Bacteria; Pseudomonadati; Verrucomicrobiota; Opitutia; Opitutales.
GGGGGUGUUCUGGAUUCGACUCUGAAUUGGAGUGCACGGUGGCAUGUCGAGGAUGAUGGUUGGCCUCGUUAAACCUCCAUCAACACACUAAGUGGCACAAAUGAAGAAAUGCCCUUGGCUGCGUAAAUAAACGCAACCACGUUCCCCCGGCGACGCCUGCUGGCCGGACGGAGCGACGACAGCAGGCAUAGCGAGCACGGCCGCACGCCGGAUGUUCGUCGUAUCUUCUACGGGGUGCUGGCUGCAAUCGACGCGCGUACUUCCGCACGGUUGCAGCGAGACUUAAUGAAGUACUAAACAUGUAGAGGCUGUGUAUGAAAGCUCAGGGGACGCGGGUUCGACUCCCGCCACCUCCACCA